UGGGGAAUAUUGGACAAUGGGCGAAAGCCUGAUCCAGCCAUGCCGCGUGUGUGAAGAAGGUCUUCGGAUUGUAAAGCACUUUAAGUUGGGAGGAAGGGCAGUAAGUUAAUACCUUGCUGUUUUGACGUUGCCGACAGAAUAAGCACCGGCUAACUCUGUGCCAG
Molecule: ribosomal RNA, 164 nt
Filed under: uncultured bacterium
Lineage: Bacteria
Description: partial 16S rRNA
Rfam family: Bacterial small subunit ribosomal RNA
Source: RNAcentral